Long non-coding RNA from Puntigrus tetrazona (Sumatra barb), 921 nucleotides. RefSeq lists it as uncharacterized. The record is from RefSeq and is a predicted model, not a curated record. NCBI's taxonomy places the organism in Eukaryota, Metazoa, Chordata, Actinopteri, Cypriniformes, Cyprinidae. The transcript is spliced from 2 exons.
AACAAAGGUACGUCUUAAUGCAUUCUGAACUGUAAGAAUGAUAUGUAACGGACCAUUCAGAACAAAACAGUUCUUUCUUUUCACUUUUCAGCAGGACAAAGACCAACUAUAUCCCUCCAGAUCCAAGAUGCUACAAACAUACACAGUCCUUUGUGUUGUGAAGAGAGUGCACAUACUGGAUAGCACUGUGCUAAAAGAAGUGCAUUUAAGUGACCUCAAAGACUGGAGAACCAUAUCUUACAUUACGUGCACUUGUAUAUGUCUAUGAUUUGCUCUAAAGGUCUAUCAGAGGAAAAAUACGCCCCCUGGUGUUGAGGUCCAUCCACAACAGACCCACAUUAUGGUUCAUGUUUCUUUUAUACUACUGUAAAAAGCUUUUCAAAUUUAUUUUUAAUACCGUGUAGUAUUCUAAUUGUCUCGGAUCUGUUUGACUUCUCACAAAUUAGAGUAGAGACCGUAAAUGUUGCACUAUUUCAUUUUAUUAUUUUUCAGUCAUCAAGCCACUGAGCAUUGAGGCCCAACUACAGAUGUGAUGGUCCACUUGAUUUCAGUGGAAACAAGGUCGACUUGUCUCUAGACGUCUCUCAGAAUGUCCUUUAGUCAUCAUACAAUCAGUGUUUAGCAGAAAUGAAUCACAAGCUUGACCUGUUUCUACGCGUUUCAUUCAGAAACCUCAUCUGUUGUCUAAUUUAGUUUUUUUUAAAGGAAUAGUUCACCCAAAAUCAUUUGAUGUUCUAUGACAUUUAUGAAAAUAUAUUUUUUUUGUGCAGACCAAUCCUUUUACAACGUCCGAGCAUAUUUAACUAUUUGGUUUAGUUCAUAUGUGGCUCAAAUCAACCAGAAGUGUUUAAAAGAUAAAUGUUUUGGUCUUUUGUUACAUUAAUUGAUAUGUAAAAUAAAAUAAAUGCAAAAUCCACAAUC